CCUCUGUUUGACCGACACCCCGACCCCACGUCCUUCUUCCACCUCUGCUCGAUCUCCCUGUCUCGUACGACAGAGCCCAUCGCCGCCGAAUCAGGCUCCUCGUGAUCUGCGCGAUCCGAACCCCUCUCUCCAACCCAUGGACACCGAGAGAUACCUCUCGCUCCCCUCGUGCGAUUCCCGUGCAAAUCCCUCAAGGUAGAACUCGAUUACGAGCGAACGGAGCACCCCAUCUUCGCUACCCGAGCUCCCUUUUCCGGUCGAUGUCGUCGUCAAUCCUCUGAUGCGAGCCCCAGCCACACUGAUCUCGCCGGAGUUCCGCUCCUGAAGCUUCUGCUCGUCAUGACAGCUUGAGGAAGCGCACGCCUCCACCGAGCACUCCACUGUCUCUGCCGCAUCAAGCCUAACCCUCCGGACCUCUUUGCCGCCCGGAGGAGCGCAGGAGAAGUCACCAGGACCGAUCCCGAAGCCGCUGCCGUCUUCCUCUGUUUCUGGUGAGCGCGCGCGCACAGAACGGCCAAUCCCGUGAUGACAUGUGGCAUGCUACAAUUGUUCGGAGCGUGACGAGUAGAAUCAUCAGGAAUUGUGAGUGCGAAGAACUUCAUCAAACGUACCAGGCAAGUUACACCUUGAUCAUCCUUCAUCCUACUUUUUUCAUGCAUGUAGUUAUAUAUCACAAUACCAUAUUAUGCAUGUGUAGGAAGAUCAUGGUAGUAUGUUAUUGCUACCGAGUUUCAGCUUAGUAUGGCCUUAUUUGUAGACCGUGGUAGUGUAUUCUUGCUAUGCUAUGUAGACGGGGAUUGGUUCGUGUGUUCAUUGAGCUUAUGGAGGAUUAUAUAUAUAACUAAAUUGAGUAGUAAUUAAGGACUUAAUUCACCUCUGGGCGGAAGUGGUAUUGCUUGGUGUUGAGGGAAGGCAUCAUGGGGUCUUGCACCUUUUCUAAGGCCAUGCGCCCAUGAGAGUGCACCCUAAGUGGAAUGCCACCCAGGUUCAAAAAGAUCAGAUAGACUUAGUGACUAGUAGCUUCCAUGUGCGGCCACUAGCUAUAUGGGCUAUGUCUUAGUUGAUCAGUUGUUGGAACCCUUGCCCAGGCAGUGUCGACAGAUGUAGCAUAUAUAUAGGUAGGAUGUGGCCGUCAGGUGGUUAAGGGAACCUCUUCUGAAAGACUUAGUCUCAAUCUUCGGAUUGGGUCCAGUGGGUAAAGCGUACUAUACUCUACACAGUAUUAAAACUAAUCAUGAUUAGUCGUGCCCCUGGUUAUGAGCAAAUUUGAGCCACUAUGCCAUUACAUUUGUUGGAUGAUCUUGACAGAUGAUACCUUAAUAAAAUUUGUGUGGGAAAUUUAAUAAUGGGAAUAGGUUGGUAUUGGAUUGCCUAAUUCAACCAUAUGUAUUCAAUUGCACCAAGACAUAAAUAAAAUUUGACUAUUUUAUUAUGUAGUUAUCAGGGAAAAACUAGCUUUCUGCAAAAAAAACCACUACACAAUCCUCUUGAUAUACCUUGCAUAUAGUUGUAGGUCUGUUAUAUCAUUUCCUAUGUGACUUGCCAAUACAUUCAAAGUAUUGACCCUUCGUGGCUGCAACGUUUCAUGCUGUAGAUUUUAUACGACGAGUGAGUGAUACGAUGACUAUACUCGACAUUUGCCUGUGGUGUUGAUGGUUUCCCUGAAGAUUUUAUUUGAUUUUCUGCUGUAUUUUUGUUAUGAGCUAGCCUUGAGCUACGCAGUUAUGUAAUAUUUUAGUUCUGGAUCUAUGAUGUAAUAUUAUGACAUGUGGUUUAUUCUUGAUAUUACAUCUUGUACCGUGUGUGCUAGCUAUCGAUCCAGG
Molecule: long non-coding RNA, 1823 nt
Organism: Triticum urartu
Lineage: Eukaryota; Viridiplantae; Streptophyta; Magnoliopsida; Poales; Poaceae
Source: RefSeq, a predicted model, not a curated record